UCUGGAUGCUUUGAUGGUGUAG
RNAcentral lists this microRNA (22 nucleotides) under Monodelphis domestica (gray short-tailed opossum). RNAcentral describes it as "mdo-miR-7379-3p". The record is from miRBase by way of RNAcentral. Lineage: Eukaryota; Metazoa; Chordata; Mammalia; Didelphimorphia; Didelphidae.